GGGCACUUGGCACGGUUGGUAGCGCGCACGCUUCGCAUAAACAAUACCCGCCGCUAACUUUGCGUGAGGUCAGGAGUUCAACUCUCCUAGUGUCCA
Molecule: non-coding RNA, 96 nt
Organism: Dendrothele bispora CBS 962.96
Lineage: Eukaryota; Fungi; Basidiomycota; Agaricomycetes; Agaricales
Source: the annotation of a GenBank genome assembly